UCCCUGGUGGCUCAGAUGGUAAAGUGUCUGCCUACAAUGUGGGAGACCCAGGUUCAAUCCCUGGGUUGGGAA
Non-coding RNA from Bos taurus (domestic cattle), 72 nucleotides. The record is from Rfam. NCBI's taxonomy places the organism in Eukaryota, Metazoa, Chordata, Mammalia, Artiodactyla, Bovidae.